This 566-nucleotide ribosomal RNA is filed under the name uncultured bacterium. RNAcentral's name for it is "partial 16S ribosomal RNA". It matches the Rfam family "Bacterial small subunit ribosomal RNA", at positions 355 to 1375 of the family's 1533-position model. The record is from RNAcentral.
UGGGGAAUAUUGCACAAUGGGCGCAAGCCUGAUGCAGCAACGCCGCGUGAGGGAUGACGGCCUUCGGGUUGUAAACCUCUUUUAGCAGGGAAGAAGCGAAAGUGACGGUACCUGCAGAAAAAGCGCCGGCUAACUACGUGCCAGCAGCCGCGGUAAUACGUAGGGCGCAAGCGUUAUCCGGAAUUAUUGGGCGUAAAGAGCUCGUAGGCGGUUUGUCGCGUCUGCUGUGAAAUCCCGAGGCUCAACCUCGGGUCUGCAGUGGGUACGGGCAGACUAGAGUGCGGUAGGGGAGAUUGGAAUUCCUGGUGUAGCGGUGGAAUGCGCAGAUAUCAGGAGGAACACCGAUGGCGAAGGCAGAUCUCUGGGCCGUAACUGACGCUGAGGAGCGAAAGGGUGGGGAGCAAACAGGCUUAGAUACCCUGGUAGUCCACCCGUAAACGUUGGGAACUAGUUGUGGGUCCAUUCCACGGAUUCCGUGACGCAGCUAACGCAUUAAGUUCACCGCCUGGGGAGUACGGCCGCAAGGCUAAAACUCAAAUGAAUUGACGGGGUCAUAGCUGUUUCCU